Canis lupus familiaris (dog) is the source of this 73-nucleotide non-coding RNA. Lineage: Eukaryota; Metazoa; Chordata; Mammalia; Carnivora; Canidae. The record is from Rfam.
ACCUGGCUAGCUCAGUCGGUGGAGCUUGUGACUCUUGAUCUCAGGGUCAUGGGUUCAAGCCCCAUGUUGGGUG